AGUCACCAACCCCAGGAGGCUCAGCAAGGACCUUGUCCAGCUUUUUGGCUGAAAGUAUCUAAAAAUCCAUUGAAGUCCUAUUUUUGAGCAUAAACCCUUUCUUGGACCUCACCCCAAGAAACACAAACAAAGCUUCAGUUCAAGUCGUCCCAGAGCCAGCACUCAGGUUACACAGGACAAAAGGUGCUCUCAAUCCAAGCGACAAGAGGUGAACUCUGCAGACAGAGCAAUCUACAGAAUUGCUAACAGGUGGGUGUGAGCAGCUGAGAAACCGCAGCAGAGAGAAGCCAGGACUGAAUGCACCUCCUGGGGUGAAGGAAGGCACGAGCUGCACCUGAACUCCUUCUCACUCUGUGUCAUGUUUGUUGCUUACAUCUCCUCACAGCCUGUCUCCUGCUAAAACUUUUACCCUCCUGUGGGGACUCCAAAAUCAUUACUCUGUUUUGUCCCACUGCUGUCCUCACCAACUGUCCAUGUACAGCUGUUGGUUGCAGCCACAGAAUAUCCUGGGUUGGAAGGGACCCUCAAAGAUCAGAGUCCAGCUCCCAGCUCCAUGCAGGAUGCAGGAGGAAACAGGCCAGAAACAAAGACAAAUCUCGCUGAGCUCCCCUGCUCUAUGGGCUGUGCUCUAAGAUGAUAAAUACACCUUGUUAAAGAGAGAGAGAGAGAGAGAGAGGAAAGGCCACAUGGCAAUUUCAGAAAAUGGAAGUGAGUUCAAAAGCAGUGUCCCACGAGAGCUCCCCUCAGUCUCCUUUCUGGCAGAAGGAGGUGCCCAGCAGCCCCACGCUCUGCAUUUGGCUGUUGGUGCUUUUCUCCACCCUACUGCGUCAUACAACAGCGUCACGAGUCACUACGUACACACAGUACUGUAUGUGCUUUGUCAUCACGUUAAUUGCAGGUAUUUUAUGACGGGACACCAGCAGAUGUCAGUUUAAUCUCAAAAAUGAAUGCCUCUGCAUAGAUUAUAGAUUUAUCAGCCUUUGCUUCAGUGAGUUUCCACCAAAGUAACCACAUUUAGCUGGGAAUCGGAAGUCAGCGUACGUUUGAUGUGCAGGAUAAAUAACCAAGUCUUAAUGUCACCUUAUUUUUUCCUGCCUGGAAAUCAAAGGAUUGCACACACGAUUUUUUUUUUGUGGCCAUUUUGCAUAUACUAAUUUGUCAAUGCAAUGCAAUAUGAACAUUUAAUACAAGAAGAAUACAGCCAGUCAUUUUGUAAUUGCAAUUGUCAGUCAAUAUCCUGUCCCACACAAAAGCUUACAUUUAAGUCACUCAUAGGUUUGCUUUUCAAAAUACAAAUAUUUUAAGGUAGAAACAGGUAAGCUUGAUAAGAUUGGAAAACGAAAACGAAGCAACAGUGCCAUCUAGAAGUGCAGUGCUGAAGACAGGAAAUACUUUGGAAGAUUUAAGUUCAAAGUAAUGAACCAAACCAACCCAAACCUCCAAAACAAUCCUUCCUACAUCUUUCACUGCUCCAAGCAUGGGCUGGGAAAGGUGUCCCUCAAAGUCCCAGGGCAUGAACUUCCAGAGGGGAUGAGUGCUGAUAAAAGACAAAGUACUUACACUCGUAACAUCAGAUGGUGCUUAAUCAAAAUGCAGCUUCUCCCAGGGGAAUGUUGGCUGCCUCACAACGCAGAGAUUGAAUUUUAAUUAAACUGAUAGAGGAAACUCAGAGCUGAGGUUUGAGGGCUGCCAUGAAGCCGGGUACCUUCAGUGCUCACUGCUCUGCGGUGAGCAGUUGGGCAUUAAUAACUUCAGAUAUCUCCAGAUAAGUUCUGUGCAUGGCCCAGGGAGAAGAGAAAAAGAAUGGAGAGCCAUAAAUACACCCUCAGCUUCAAAAACUCUUUCAUGAGAAGAGAUUUCAUGACUGAGUCUUGCAAUUCUACCAGCAUGGGAACUGUAGGGAAACAAAGCAAGAAACCCCCUCAUAUGACAGAUAAGAGAAGUGAUGUCUUCAAGUCAGCUCUCAGACACAUUAUCUUGCAUAAAUCUUGUUUCUCAA
Molecule: long non-coding RNA, 1999 nt
Organism: Meleagris gallopavo (turkey)
Lineage: Eukaryota; Metazoa; Chordata; Aves; Galliformes; Phasianidae
Source: RefSeq, a predicted model, not a curated record